RNAcentral lists this unclassified non-coding RNA (329 nucleotides) under soil metagenome. RNAcentral's name for it is "partial contains 5.8S ribosomal RNA, internal transcribed spacer 2, and large subunit ribosomal RNA". The stretch from base 1 to 120 matches the Rfam family "5.8S ribosomal RNA", at positions 35 to 154 of the family's 154-position model. The record is from RNAcentral.
GAUGAAGAACGCAGCGAAAUGCGAUAAGUAAUGUGAAUUGCAGAAUUCAGUGAAUCAUCGAAUCUUUGAACGCACAUUGCGCCCCCUGGUAUUCCGGGGGGCAUGCCUGUCCGAGCGUCAUUACAACCCUCAAGCUCAGCUUGGUGUUGGGCCCCGCCGCCCCGGCGGGCCCUAAAGUCAGUGGCGGUGCCGUCCGGCUCCGAGCGUAGUAAUUCUUCUCGCUCUGGAGGUCCGGUCGUGUGCUCGCCAGCAACCCCCAAUUUUUUUCAGGUUGACCUCGGAUCAGGUAGGGAUACCCGCUGAACUUAAGCAUAUCAAUAAGCGAAGGA